This 1220-nucleotide long non-coding RNA is filed under the name Oryza brachyantha (malo sina). RNAcentral describes it as "long non-coding RNA (OBRA_LNC000421)". The record is from RNAcentral. Lineage: Eukaryota; Viridiplantae; Streptophyta; Magnoliopsida; Poales; Poaceae.
AGCGGGCUGAGCUGGCUGAGAGGGAAUAAAACCCGGGAGUACUGUAGCUUGUGGGGUAAGUUUUGAGAAAUGAGAAAUCCUUAGUCUGUUCUUCCCCAAUCUAUUCUCUGAAUUCUCUGGCUCUAUUCUCUUGCGAUCUCGACUUCUUCUCCCCAAUCGGCGGCGACUUCUCUCGUCGGCGACGUGGGAUAUCACACUAACUGACAACACAAGACAGCACACAAACAAGAACUGGGUUAACCAUGAGAGCGUAACAUUCGAGCUGUAUCAAAGCAGUGCGUAACAGCGUAAGAUAUUUACGACAAUCAGAUAUCUCGCCCUAAUUCCAGCAAUUUGGUGCUAAAACCUCUCCGCUUGCUUUUGGGGGGACCCGAACCCGAAGGAAUCGAAUCCUAGUCCUAGAGAGGAAUAAGAAGGAGGAAGACGACCUGGGCAGGGCAAGACUCCUCCAUGAUGUGGAGGAGGUUGGAGGUGGAGUGUAGCGCCUGCCAUCUGCUCCGCCACCGCGGCCGCGGCCUGCGCCUGCGCGCCGCCGGCGGCCCUCUAUGGAGUGGCGAAGGCUUUGCAGAAAGCUACACUGGGGUCAGGACCUCAUCUGUCUCCGCCACCGCCACCACCACCAGCUCCUCCCCCGAGGUCUGAAUCGGUGCUUGGGUCUCCAUUUUUUCAUCCUGGUGGGGAUAGGGAGCAUGAGGAGAGGCAUUGGACUCCGACAAUGGAUUUUUCGAAGUUUGAUGGUUCGGGUGCUCGUGUGUGGGUGGAUAACUGCGAAACUUAUUUCUCGAUGUAUAACAUCAUUGAGGGUUUUAAAGUGUCAGCUGCAUCGUUGAAUAUGGUGGGCGAUGCAGCCAAUUGGUACCAAGCUUGGAAGCAGGAAAUGGGAUGGCCAACCUGGGAACAACUGAAGUUGGCUGUUCUGGAAGAAUUUGAGGCUCAUCUUCAUCGUGUAAAAAUGGAUGAGUUGUUACUGCUGGCACAAACUGGAAAUGUCUAUGAAUACAGGUCUCGGUUUGCUCAGUUGGUGUAUGAGAUUCGAUUGUAUGACCCGGCAGUGAGUGGACAAAUGUUAGUUUCCCAAUUUGUUUUGGGCCUGAAAGAGGAGUUGCGAUUCUUUGUUACUGCUCAACAACCUGUAACUGUAACUCAGGCUUAUUUGGUGGCUCUAGCUUAUGAGGGAGCUGCUAGAGUAAAGAAGUCUAAUCAUAGAAGAGAGUUGGUUC